GUUGACAUCUUCAAGGACUUCUCUGCCAUGAUGAAGUGGGCCUUCAAACUGUGAUGGAACUAGAGCUCUUCAUUUAUUUGUUGGCCUCUUGUCAGGACACUGAGAGUAACAGUCAGAGCAUUCACUAAUAUGAUGAAUUUCAAGGACCAGUGAGAGAACUUCUGGUCAGAGAAUUGACAUUACUCCUCUGCAUUUGUAGGUGAACUGACUUUGCUCCUCUGUGUUUGCACUUGUAGGACCAAUUUCUGCUGCUCAAAAUGUUCUUGGAUGUGUGUUCUUGCACUGGAACAAGGUCGAAUAACCAGGGGCUGCAUCCUCAGAGAAAGCUGACAUUUCCUCACCCAGCAGCUAACAACCUUUUCUCACGUUUUGUGCAUCUCUUGGUAUCAGAGAAACCAAACAGUUCCUGGAUUCUGAGGUGCCCUGGUGUCCUUUCUGGGAUUCUCCCAGCACUACCAGCUGACAGAGUGAUGGAAGCUGCCAAGGAGAGCAUCUCAGGAAAGAUCCUAAACAUAUUAGCCAAGAAGAUUCUAAGAUUGCAUCUUUUUGUGCUUCUAAGCUGUAUUCUGAAGAGUUGAGGUAGCACUAGACAGUGUUUUGUUUCAAACUGAUCUACUAGUUAUAUAAAAUCAAAUUAUAUUCUUGGCAGAAAACGCAUGUCAUUUUGGCAUGCAAAUCUGAGAGACCAAUGCUCAGCAAAAACAAUGACUUUGGAAUAUAUAUAUAUAUUUAAUAUAUAUAUUAAAUUCUUGAAUUCUUGGUUAAUUCUCUGAUUCCCUUUUCCUUAUAGACAAAUGGUUCUCAAUCUAUGGGCCAUGAUGACCUGAGGGAAUCAAAUGACUUUUACAGGGCUCACAUAUUAGAUAUCUUGCAUAUCAGAUAUUUAUAUUAUGAUUCAUUACAGUAACAAAACUACAGUUAUGAAGUAGCAAAAAAGAAA
Microtus ochrogaster (prairie vole) is the source of this 940-nucleotide long non-coding RNA. RefSeq lists it as uncharacterized. The transcript has 3 exons. Lineage: Eukaryota; Metazoa; Chordata; Mammalia; Rodentia; Cricetidae. The record is from RefSeq and is a predicted model, not a curated record.